Molecule: long non-coding RNA, 607 nt
Filed under: Rhinopithecus bieti (black snub-nosed monkey)
Lineage: Eukaryota; Metazoa; Chordata; Mammalia; Primates; Cercopithecidae
Description: lncRNA (ENSRBIG00000046066.1)
Source: RNAcentral
GGGAUGAGCUUAUAUCUCGUAGCCUGGUUCCCUCUGUCACUUGGUCUCUUGGUCUUUCUCUCUCUCUCUCUCUCUCUCUCUCUCUCUCAGAACUAAAUUAAUGAAGAGUAUUUGGUUAGUCAUGUUAGGCAAGCUGUUCCCAAAAUAGCGCCUUCCAUUUUGGUAGCUUCAACUUUGCAGCUGCUGUGUCUCUUCGUCGUCUGGGAAGAAAACUUUCACAUUAAGAGUUGCUGAUGCGGAUUUUCUUUCUUUCCUCUCCCGGCGGCGUUGAUGAGUGCUUGGCUCCUGACAGACGCGAUUCGGCUCCCAGCUUUGUAGUUCGGAAGAAGUUGGGUCUAUAGAUUUCCCCCUAACUCUCCAUCGAUGUGUUGAGCUUCAGAGGGAAUAACUCUACGUAAAGCAUGUUGGCGUCUCAAGGAGUUCUCCUGCAUCCCUAUGGCGUGCCUAUGAUUGUACCGGCAGCUCCUUACCUCCCUGGACUGAUUCAGACUAGUAAGUCACAACCUAGAGAAGUCAAGACAGUCCACCCAAGACAUCGAGCAACACAAUAAUCAGCGCAAGAUGGUGUUUCUCGGAUUCAUGAUCCAUGCAGCCAUACUACGUCUCU